Molecule: transfer RNA, 76 nt
Filed under: Bacteriophage sp.
Description: tRNA-Gly
Rfam family: tRNA
About the family: Transfer RNA (tRNA) molecules are approximately 80 nucleotides in length. Their secondary structure includes four short double-helical elements and three loops (D, anti-codon, and T loops). Further hydrogen bonds mediate the characteristic L-shaped molecular structure. tRNAs have two regions of fundamental functional importance: the anti-codon, which is responsible for specific mRNA codon recognition, and the 3' end, to which the tRNAs corresponding amino acid is attached (by aminoacyl-tRNA synthetases). tRNAs cope with the degeneracy of the genetic code in two manners: having more than one tRNA (with a specific anti-codon) for a particular amino acid; and 'wobble' base-pairing, i.e. permitting non-standard base-pairing at the 3rd anti-codon position.
Source: RNAcentral
GCGACUGUAGUUCAAUUGGUAGAGCGUCAGAUUUCCAAUCUGAAUGUUGCGGGAUCAUACCCCGUCAGUCGCUCCA